RNAcentral lists this ribosomal RNA (428 nucleotides) under uncultured Gammaproteobacteria bacterium. RNAcentral describes it as "bacterial SSU rRNA". It matches the Rfam family "Bacterial small subunit ribosomal RNA", at positions 355 to 776 of the family's 1533-position model. The record is from RNAcentral. Lineage: Bacteria; Pseudomonadati; Pseudomonadota; Gammaproteobacteria.
UGGGGAAUAUUGCACAAUGGGCGCAAGCCUGAUGCAGCAAUGCCGCGUGUGUGAAGAAGGCCUGCGGGUUGUAAAGCACUUUUAUUGGGAAAGAAAAACCCGGAGCUAAUACCUCCGGCAUUGACGGUACCCAAAGAAUAAGCACCGGCUAACUCAGUGCCAGCAGCCGCGGUAAUACUGAGGGUGCGAGCGUUAAUCGGAAUUACUGGGCGUAAAGCGAGUGUAGGCGGUUACCUAAGUCGGAUGUGAAAGCCCCGGGCUUAACCUGGGAAUUGCAUUCGAUACUGGGUGACUGGAGUUUGGUAGAGGUAAGUGGAAUUCCGGGUGUAGCGGUGAAAUGCGUAGAUAUCCGGAGGAACAUCAGUGGCGAAGGCGGCUUACUGGACCAAAACUGACGCUGAGGCUCGAAAGCGUGGGUAGCAAACAGG